Molecule: long non-coding RNA, 1106 nt
Organism: Rhododendron vialii
Lineage: Eukaryota; Viridiplantae; Streptophyta; Magnoliopsida; Ericales; Ericaceae
Exons: 5
Source: RefSeq, a predicted model, not a curated record
UAUUUCGGCUUUGAAUGAUUUUGGUAUCCAUAGUGGAAGGCUUAAAAUUUUGGCUACUCCAAUCUUUGCUAUUUUUAUAUAUAGUUUAACUUAAAAAAAUAUUGUAUUCAAUUUAGGCUUUUGAUUGGAAAGCUAGGUUUUGGGUAUUUAUAUGGUGUUGACAAAUUAGUUGCGAAUGUUAGCUCUAAAAUCCCUUUUGGAAAUCCCUUUCGGAUUAGGGGACUUAAAGUUCGAGUUGCCUGAGCAACGCUGUAGUUUUUGUAGUUUUUUACCAUCUUCCUAAUGAGUGUACAAUAGUAUCAUGACAGCCAACUAUAGAUUGGAAAAGUGAUUAGACAAGGAAGACAUAACUCCACCUAUAGUAGAUUGGCUUAUAUUUGUUUUAUUUUCUUUAUAUCACUUAAACGAAUCUGAACUUCUUUAUGGAUGAGUGGCUCAGUCCUUUUUUAGUAAGAGCUGGCCAAGUAUGCUAAGGGAUUUAGCACCGCUGUUUUGAACUACCACCAGUUUGUGUAGAGUCCCCAUCAGCAUCUACGAUGCUGCUGAUAUGAUCUAGAGUUGUCUCACUUUGUCAAUAUGAAAAUGUUAAGAGAACGCAAAAUUGUUAAAGUUGCAUUUAGUGAUUUUUCAAACCAUUUUUUCCCCUUUUUACAUGAGAGUAACAUCUUUUAUUGCCAUUUUUUGCAACAUGUACAGUUUUGGACAUUCUUUCUUUUUUUGGGGAGUGAAAAUGGGAAGAAAAGAGGCUGAGUCGGGUUGUAUUUCAUGCUCUCAAGUUUGCGACAUCAAUAUUAGACUCGGUAACAAGUUUACGUAGAACAUGGAGGUCGAAGGACCUUAGUUUUUCUCUUCAUAUCGAAGCGGAGGAGGGCAAGUUUCUGUAUGGGAUUAAGUCACGAAUAGACUAAGCUUGUGACAUGUCUAAGCAAGGCUUGUGGUGUUGCACAUGAUUCUGAGGUUGAAGAGCUGGCUUGACCUUUUUUGUUGACUCACUUGCAUGAGGAAGAGGCAAAUCAAUCCGAGUAUAGUAGGGAGGAGAAGCACAAGAGAGAUUUUAAGCUUUCGUUAAGGAAUACAUGGAGGGAGCAUUUUGUGGAUGUAAUCAA